CCUAAAGAGUAACGGAGGAGUACGAAGGUGCGCUCAGCGUGGUCGGAAAUCACGCGUAGAGUAUAAAGGCAAAAGCGCGCUUAACUGCGAGACCCACAAGUCGAGCAGGUACGAAAGUAGGUCUUAGUGAUCCGGUGGUUCUGUAUGGAAGGGCCAUCGCUCAACGGAUAAAAGGUACUCUGGGGAUAACAGGCUGAUACCGCCCAAGAGUUCAUAUCGACGGCGGUGUUUGGCACCUCGAUGUCGGCUCAUCUCAUCCUGGGGCUGAAGCAGGUCCCAAGGGUAUGGCUGUUCGCCAUUUAAAGAGGUACGCGAGCUGGGUUUAGAACGUCGUGAGACAGUUCGGUCCCUAUCUACCGUGGGCGCUGGAAAUUUGAGAGGAUCUGCUCCUAGUACGAGAGGACCAGAGUGGACGAACCUCUGGUGUACCGGUUGUGACGCCAGUCGCAUCGCCGGGUAGCUAUGUUCGGAAGGGAUAACCGCUGAAAGCAUCUAAGCGGGAAGCCUACCUCAAGAUAAGAUUUCCCUAGGACUUUAUGUCCUCUAAAGAGCCGUUCGAGACUAGGACGUUGAUAGGUUGGAUGUGGAAGCAUAGUGAUAUGUGAAGCUGACCAAUACUAAUUGCUCGUGAGGCUUGACUAU
RNAcentral lists this ribosomal RNA (642 nucleotides) under Acinetobacter baumannii. RNAcentral's name for it is "partial 23S ribosomal RNA". It matches the Rfam family "Bacterial large subunit ribosomal RNA", at positions 2289 to 2925 of the family's 2925-position model. Lineage: Bacteria; Pseudomonadati; Pseudomonadota; Gammaproteobacteria; Moraxellales; Moraxellaceae. The record is from RNAcentral. RNAcentral also lists the same sequence under 1 other name.